This 20-nucleotide small nuclear RNA is filed under the name Arabidopsis thaliana (thale cress). RNAcentral's name for it is "snRNA_02792". The record is from RNAcentral. Lineage: Eukaryota; Viridiplantae; Streptophyta; Magnoliopsida; Brassicales; Brassicaceae.
UCCUUUGCAGACGACUUAAA